CUGGCGGCGUGCUUACACAUGCAAGUCGUACGAGAACGCUUCAGCUUGCUGAAGCAAGUAAAGUGGCGCACGGGUGAGUAACGCGUGGGUAAUCUACCCUUGAAUCGGGGAUAACGUUGCGAAAGCGACGCUAAUACCGGAUGACAUCUUGAGAACCUUGGUUUUUUUGAUCAAAGGUGGCCUCUCCAUGGAAGCUACUGUUUGAGGAUGAGCCCGCGUCCCAUUAGCUAGUUGGUAGGGUAACGGCCUACCAAGGCGACGAUGGGUAGCUGGUCUGAGAGGAUGAUCAGC
Molecule: ribosomal RNA, 291 nt
Filed under: uncultured delta proteobacterium
Lineage: Bacteria; Deltaproteobacteria
Description: partial 16S ribosomal RNA
Rfam family: Bacterial small subunit ribosomal RNA
Source: RNAcentral